GAGGGUGCAAGCGUUAAUCGGAAUUACUGGGCGUAAAGCGUGCGUAGACGGUUAUCUAAGUCGGGUGUGAAAGCCCCGGGCUCAACCUGGGAAUUGCAUUCGAGACUGAAUAGCUAGGGUGCGGAAGAGGGAAGCGGAAUUUCCGGUGUAGCGGUGAAAUGCGUAGAUAUCGGAAGGAACACCAGUGGCGAAAGCGGCUUCCUGGUCCAGCACCGACGUUCAGGCACGAAAGCGUGGGGAGCAAACAGGAUUAGAUACCCUGGUAGUCCACGCCAUAAACGAUGAGGACUAGACGUUGAGAGGGUAAGCCUCCCAGUGUCGCAGCUAACGCGAUAAGUCCUCCGCCUGGGGAGUACGGCCGCAAGGUUG
This 369-nucleotide ribosomal RNA is filed under the name uncultured organism. RNAcentral's name for it is "bacterial SSU rRNA". It matches the Rfam family "Bacterial small subunit ribosomal RNA", at positions 528 to 896 of the family's 1533-position model. The record is from RNAcentral.